GCAAGCAGAUCUCUUGAGUUCUAUUGUGAGAAAGAAGGCUAUUUAUCAGCUACGAUAUUGUUUACUUGGUCAAGAAGAUGCUCGAAAGCAACACGGCACGUGCCAUUCUCAUGGCCGCAGCAGUGCUAAUUGGAUUCUCAACUCCUCCCCAUUUGAUAGAAAAUACACUGUCCAACUGCUUCUUAGGCUCAGGCACAGUCCUGAAGAAUGAAUUGCAGAAUGAGUUGCAGUCUCUUGGAGGAAGUGAUUUUACCCUCUCUUUAGAAUGGGCCUUGUUCAACCCAAGGCAAGGACUUUGCUUGAAAGAAAUUGACGUAUUGCAAACUGCUGAGGAGAACCUUGUUUCGAACGACUCUUCACCACUGAGCGAUGAAGACUCUCAUGUUCAUGCGAACACCUCUCUGGAUUUUAAGCAUUUUAACUCAUUUCCCCUCCCAUCAACUCUGGAUACUGAUUACUCGAAAACCCAAGCGUUUGACUACACGAUCAUCGUGUAUGAAGUUGAUCUGAAAUUGGAAUUGGAAACUGUCAGCCUUGUAUCGGAAUCGGAAUUUGACGGAACAGCCUCUGACUUGCGCUCGCAUCACUAUCGAUCAACACUGUCCUAUGGAGAUCUUCUCAACUCCUACUGGAAUGAAUGGACC
This is a long non-coding RNA of Halichondria panicea, 644 nucleotides long. RefSeq lists it as uncharacterized. The transcript has 3 exons. NCBI's taxonomy places the organism in Eukaryota, Metazoa, Porifera, Demospongiae, Suberitida, Halichondriidae. The record is from RefSeq and is a predicted model, not a curated record.